This 495-nucleotide ribosomal RNA is filed under the name uncultured bacterium. RNAcentral's name for it is "partial 16S ribosomal RNA". It matches the Rfam family "Bacterial small subunit ribosomal RNA", at positions 30 to 507 of the family's 1533-position model. The record is from RNAcentral.
UGAACGCUGGCGGCGUGCCUAAUACAUGCAAGUCGAGCGAACAGACGAGGAGCUUGCUCCUCUGACGUUAGCGGCGGACGGGUGAGUAACACGUGGAUAACCUACCUAUAAGACUGGGACAACUUCGGGAAACCGGAGCUAAUACCGGAUAAUAUAUUGAACCGCAUGGUUCAAUAGUGAAAGACGGUUUUGCUGUCACUUAUAGAUGGAUCCGCGCCGCAUUAGCUAGUUGGUAAGGUAACGGCUUACCAAGGCAACGAUGCGUAGCCGACCUGAGAGGGUGAUCGGCCACACUGGAACUGAGACACGGUCCAGACUCCUACGGGAGGCAGCAGUAGGGAAUCUUCCGCAAUGGGCGAAAGCCUGACGGAGCAACGCCGCGUGAGUGAUGAAGGUCUUCGGAUCGUAAAACUCUGUUAUUAGGGAAGAACAAAUGUGUAAGUAACUAUGCACGUCUUGACGGUACCUAAUCAGAAAGCCACGGCUAACUACGUG